Molecule: unclassified non-coding RNA, 1184 nt
Filed under: Hevea brasiliensis (rubber tree)
Lineage: Eukaryota; Viridiplantae; Streptophyta; Magnoliopsida; Malpighiales; Euphorbiaceae
Source: RNAcentral
GGAAUUUUUGGUCUGUAAUUGUUCAUUUUUUCUUGUUAAGAUUUAAGAAUUAGUAGAAGGAAAAAUAGAAAGGAAUAAAAGGGAGAGAAGGAAAAUAAUUCAAAAGGCUAUAUCCUUAUUUUUGUUAUUACUUAUAUAAAAUAAAAGAUUCCAUAUUUAUGUACAAAUAUCUUAGAAUUACUCUACUUAAUUAGGAAUAAAACUUCCACCUAUUCAUGAAUCUAAAUCCUAUAUUAAAUAAGAUUAUAAAUCCUGCCUAAAUAGGAAUACAUAAAAUCUACUAAUAAGGAAUAUAACUAAACAUAAAUAUUCACUUUCCAUACACUCCUCCUUAAAAUAGAGCAUGGAAUCUCAUAAAUUCCAACACUCCCCUUUGAUGAGAGUCUUCAUAGGAGACUGCAACAGGUCUAGCAAUCCCUUAGGUUCAAACACAAAAUAACAGUAUUGUACCAAAUUCAAAAACACCUAAACAAAGGCUUGAACACCAAAAGCAAACCCUCUCCAAAGGCAAUGCCGGGAGGAAAUAUCAACACAAUGCAGCUUUCAAGGUUGCACUUCCUUCUCUAAAGACAAUGUCUGUGAGGAGAAACAACAAAAUAGUGGAUCUUUACCGAAACAGCCUAUAUGGCUGUAAUAUAGUGGCUGUCCAAACUUCAACAAACUUUUAAAGGAGUUUUGAAUGGGGUAGUAGGUAGGAGGACUCAAAAGAGACAUAGUAGUUAUUAGAUUUAUGACCCAAAAUCCUAAUUAAUUUAAAAAAUAUUUUCCUAAUUUGAGUGUGAGAAAUAUUCCUCAAUAAGAUAGAGGUAUAUUUCCUACAUAGAGUAGAACUCCUAUUUUAGUAUUAUUUUUAAAUUGAGUAGGAUUCCUAUUUAGAUUAAGACUAAGAGAGAGCGGGCUUAGUCAAUGGCUUAAGAUUUGGCUAUGUCCAUUGAUGAGGGCUCUUGCCCAUUGCAGUCUCAUGGAAAGAAAGAGAUUUCGGCCUAAAAUCGAGAAAGGACAUAAUCUAAGGGGAAGAUAUUAUUGUACAUUGUAGUUAACACCUUUUUUGGUAUAGUAGUUAAAGUAGCAAAUAUAUUGAGUUAUUAAGAGGAGAAUGAGAGGACUAGCUAAUGCAUUUACUAUAAUCAAUUUCUCUUGGGUGUAAUUGGGUUAAUGGGUAGUAUAGUUUUGAGCUUGUAAUG